Molecule: ribosomal RNA, 585 nt
Filed under: uncultured bacterium
Lineage: Bacteria
Description: partial 16S ribosomal RNA
Rfam family: Bacterial small subunit ribosomal RNA
Source: RNAcentral
UGGGGAAUUUUGGACAAUGGGCGAAAGCCUGAUCCAGCAAUGCCGCGUGUGUGAAGAAGGCCUUCGGGUUGUAAAGCACUUUUGUCCGGAAAGAAAUCCUUGGCUCUAAUACAGUCGGGGGAUGACGGUACCGGAAGAAUAAGCACCGGCUAACUACGUGCCAGCAGCCGCGGUAAUACGUAGGGUGCAAGCGUUAAUCGGAAUUACUGGGCGUAAAGCGUGCGCAGGCGGUUUGCUAAGACCGAUGUGAAAUCCCCGGGCUCAACCUGGGAACUGCAUUGGUGACUGGCAGGCUAGAGUAUGGCAGAGGGGGGUAGAAUUCCACGUGUAGCAGUGAAAUGCGUAGAGAUGUGGAGGAAUACCGAUGGCGAAGGCAGCCCCCUGGGCCAAUACUGACGCUCAUGCACGAAAGCGUGGGGAGCAAACAGGAUUAGAUACCCUGGUAGUCCACGCCCUAAACGAUGUCGACUAGUUGUUGGGGAUUCAUUUCCUUAGUAACGUAGCUAACGCGUGAAGUUGACCGCCUGGGGAGUACGGUCGCAAGAUUAAAACUUAAAUGAAUUGACGGGGUCAUAGCUGUUUCCU